AGAUUAAGUUAUUAAGGGCGCACGGUGGAUGCCUUGGCACUAGAAGCCGAUGAAGGACGUUACUAACGACGAUAUGCUUUGGGUAGCUGUAAGUAAGCGUUGAUCCAGAGAUUUCCGAAUGGGGGAACCCAGCAUGAGUUAUGUCAUGUUAUCGACAUGUGAAUUCAUAGCAUGUCAGAAGGCAGACCCGGAGAACUGAAACAUCUUAGUACCCGGAGGAAGAGAAAGAAAAAUCGAUUCCCUGAGUAGCGGCGAGCGAAACGGGAAGAGCCCAAACCAACAAGCUUGCUUGUUGGGGUUGUAGGACACUCUAUACGGAGUUACAAAAGAACAUGUUAGACGAAUCAUCUGGAAAGAUGAAUCAAAGAAGGUAAUAAUCCUGUAGUCGAAAACAUAUUC
This 399-nucleotide ribosomal RNA is filed under the name Listeria monocytogenes. RNAcentral describes it as "bacterial LSU rRNA". It matches the Rfam family "Bacterial large subunit ribosomal RNA", at positions 1 to 392 of the family's 2925-position model. Lineage: Bacteria; Bacillati; Bacillota; Bacilli; Caryophanales; Listeriaceae. The record is from RNAcentral.